This 30-nucleotide non-coding RNA is filed under the name Homo sapiens (human). Lineage: Eukaryota; Metazoa; Chordata; Mammalia; Primates; Hominidae. The record is from RNAcentral.
UGGGUUUGGAUGUGAGCAUCUAUGCAUGCA